UACGUAGGUCCCGAGCGUUGUCCGGAUUUAUUGGGCGUAAAGCGAGCGCAGGUGGUUUAAUAAGUCUGAUGUAAAAGGCAGUGGCUCAACCAUUGUGUGCAUUGGAAACUGUUAGACUUGAGUGCAGUAGAGGAGAGUGGAAUUCCAUGUGUAGCGGUGAAAUGCGUAGAUAUGUGGAGGAACACCAGUGGCGAAGGCGACUCUCUGGUCUGUAACUGACGCUGAGGCUCGAAAGCGUGGGGAGCAAACAGG
This 252-nucleotide ribosomal RNA is filed under the name uncultured microorganism. RNAcentral's name for it is "partial 16S ribosomal RNA". It matches the Rfam family "Bacterial small subunit ribosomal RNA", at positions 524 to 776 of the family's 1533-position model. The record is from RNAcentral.